CCUCAGUGCCAUCACAUCGUUGCUGAGUUCUCGAUUCACAAAUCUCACUGAUACCCUAAAAGUGCUGAAUGUGACUUACCAGAGAAUUUCAAACACCUCCUAUGCACUCAUCUUCAACAUCAGCAUCAGUAAUAUUAGCAUUUCAGAGAACCGUGAAAUUGAGAACAACACCUACAGUCAAGUGGAGAACGCCAUCAAUAAUGCCCUAAACACACUGCUCAAUGCACCUAAUGCAGAUCCAUUUACACCCAAGUCCUCCAACUACACAUUAUCAGGAAAGCAGAUUGGAGGUGAAAUUGAGUACAGCUUUCAAAAUGGAGAUACUAAA
Silurus meridionalis is the source of this 328-nucleotide long non-coding RNA. RefSeq lists it as uncharacterized. The record is from RefSeq and is a predicted model, not a curated record. The transcript is spliced from 4 exons. NCBI's taxonomy places the organism in Eukaryota, Metazoa, Chordata, Actinopteri, Siluriformes, Siluridae.